RNAcentral lists this long non-coding RNA (1452 nucleotides) under Carassius auratus (goldfish). Its description in RNAcentral is "lncRNA (ENSCARG00000019990.1)". The record is from RNAcentral. Lineage: Eukaryota; Metazoa; Chordata; Actinopteri; Cypriniformes; Cyprinidae.
CUACCCUCCACAACCAAAUUCCUACUACUUGUUGACAUUUCUCUGUUGUUAGCAGAGGCUGAGUGUAGCAUCUUUGCUAAGGUCAGUGAUUUACAGUAUGUACAUUCGGCAGAAUUGUUUUAUGCAGAGAUUAGAUUAAAGCUAACUUCAUCCUCUGAAUUAGCAUUGCUCUGCUUCAUCCAUAGAGGACUGCUGAGUCAGAUCACGAUGAACAAACACACACACACUCAUCUGGACCUUGUGUGUCUUUCCAAAUCCAGAUACAUCAGCUAUGCCAAUUCUAAUCCUCCUCAGAGCGAACAUUUGAGAAGAAUUGGUGCCAUGACCUGGAGGGGUUGACUGUAACAGAGUCCAGCUAGAGCAGUUUUGUCUCUUUUCACUUUCAACCGUGCUUCACGAGCACAAAAGCAACGUUCCAAGCCUGAUGAAAAACUCAGCGGGUCAAUAAAUAACGUGUUUACUACAGCUGUAAAAGGCUGACGACGGGAUACUUUUGAAGCCUCAGUGCAUAAUAAAACGGACAAGAGAUGCAUGAAAUCAUGACUGGCAGUAAUUGCAGCUUUGUUUAAGCAAUUGUGUUUUUUUUGUUUUUUUAGAGGUGUUGUAAAGAGGUUAUCAGUGAUAUUUGAAUACUUUAAAGGGUGACAGAGUAGAAAAUUGUGAGUUGAAAAUCUUAAUCCAAGAUUGCUGGUAUCUUUGACCUUCCAUCAUCCCUAAAGGCUCCGAAGUUCUCUCUCAACCUUGGCUCAUACCGAUCUUAAAAUCACUCUCCGUCUCUGAGUUUUAUACCUCUGCAAAACACAGUGUGCAUUUUAAUGCGGCUUCCAUCUAGUCACCGAGACGAAGCCACUUUGGCCUUGACGGUCUCUUUGGAAAUGAAAGGCAACCUUCAAAGAAAUCAAUUAACGUGAAGCGUGGAAUUGAUUUUUAUGGAUUUUUGUAAGAGUUGUUGACUGAGAUGCUCUCAGGUCAGGUUGCUUGCUGAGUUAAUGUGACUAGUUUGGAAUCCUCAGUCAUUUGAGGCAACCAAUCAGCUCGUGUUCUCCUUCAGAGCCCUGGCAACAACCCCCAGAGCACGGGCAAGUGUGCUUUAAUCAUCCUACUGAGCAGCCAAUAGUGGGCACACACACAGGAUCACAGGCAGUCAUAUAAACACACACACACAUCUCUCACAAGCCAGCUGGGCGUCUGUGUUGAAGUUCCUGUCCUCUCGCCUUUCUCCCAUAAUUCCCUGUUCUAUUUACUCAUGAUUGCUCUUAUUUAACUGACCACGGAUGAACUGAAAUCCACUCCCACAGCCCCAUAACCUACAUUUAAUUCAGCUAAACAGCAUUUUAUCUCUUUUAACAGACGAUCUGAAUGAUUUUCAGUCCUCUACAUAUUGUUGCUUGUCUUCCCACACAGAUUACCAGGUUUUACGACACUGCAGACUGAUGUAAAAAUCUGCUGACA